AUAGGCCCAUAAACGAUUCACCCUUCUUCCAUAUUUCCGUCAUUUCGAGGUCACGAGCACUGCCGUGUUUUUGGAACCGUGGAUUUAAGGCAAAUCCUCCCAAUUGUGUAACUGUCCCGGUAACGCUUCCCAUUCGUCUUCACCGACGCCGUAACGCUCCUCCUCCUAAUUCAUAUCUAAUGUUAUUCCUUGAUAGUCUGAUACGUCUGCUUCGAUUUUGGGCAUUGAUAUCCUGCUGAUUAAUGGGAAGUCAACGCUAAUCCAAGCCUAUCAACGUUUGCCACUUGAACACCUUUAGGGAAAUCUUGAAAGAGAGAUCAUGAGCAAGAGUUUUUGAUGUUACACCAAGCAACACGAACAUCAGGUCUGUUGACGCCCCUGUUGCUAUUAGUUUUACGGACCAAACCAUGUUCGUUGAGAUUGCUGCGACGGUGGAACAGAAUCCGAGAGAGAGCUUCUGGUGGUUCUGCAACUUUGACACAAUCUGAUUUGGCUAACACAAACACCGACUUGCCAGAUAACGUUGGGGAACUUAUGGGUAUACAAACCAUUUUCAACGAAAAGAGUCAAAGCACUCAACGCAUAAUGGCAAGUUGGCAACGAUAAGAAUUGAAGGAGAUCAAUAAAGCUAGAAACAAGCUAUAGGAGCAUCAACUGCACACAAGGCAUAGGCAGAAAAAAAGAUAUCUGAAACGAAAAGAUUUUCACUAAAGUUUAAAUUAUCAACGUUCUCUAGGGUCUAUGGUUUCUUCUUUGAUAUGUUACAGAAGACAGUUACGAAGGAAUGGGGUUCUCCUUAUUUCUCUGGAGAGAAACCCUUUUUUGAUGUAUGAUUUCUCUUCAAGAGUUGAGAACUUUAGUUGUUGUGAACAAUCAGAAAGUUUCUUUACUAAAGAAGGUUUUGUGGUUUGAGAUCAGAAGCAAGGUUGAUCGUUAAUGUGAAACUGGUUUAUUGCUGUAAAUUGGAUGAAAGCUAUUUCUGUGUGUUUUAUUUUGUCUCA
Brassica napus (rape) is the source of this 1001-nucleotide long non-coding RNA. RefSeq lists it as uncharacterized. The transcript has 5 exons. The record is from RefSeq and is a predicted model, not a curated record. NCBI's taxonomy places the organism in Eukaryota, Viridiplantae, Streptophyta, Magnoliopsida, Brassicales, Brassicaceae.